AUAAGGCGAACAGAAAAACCAGGGCGGCCACAGACACACAAACCUAAGUGUGCUCUUCAGCACAGCUGUCCUCUGCUUUUACUUGGAGGUCUUCCUGCAAUUUCUUCUUUGAAAAGCAACUAGUACAAUUCCCGUGUCUGUCUUGAUAGGGUCUUUGUGGAAAAAGCUUUGAUCUUUACCUAUGUGGAAAUGGAUACACACUGCAGCUAAACAGAAGCCACUGAAAACAGGAAAAUGCCAAUAACUUCAUGAUACUCAAUAGGUAGAAUAAUGCAUCUCCUGAUUAUCCAUUUAAAAUACA
Long non-coding RNA from Pezoporus occidentalis (night parrot), 301 nucleotides. RefSeq lists it as uncharacterized. The transcript is spliced from 3 exons. The record is from RefSeq and is a predicted model, not a curated record. Lineage: Eukaryota; Metazoa; Chordata; Aves; Psittaciformes; Psittacidae.